RNAcentral lists this ribosomal RNA (253 nucleotides) under uncultured bacterium. Its description in RNAcentral is "partial 16S ribosomal RNA". It matches the Rfam family "Bacterial small subunit ribosomal RNA", at positions 524 to 776 of the family's 1533-position model. The record is from RNAcentral.
UACGUAGGGCGCAAGCGUUGUCCGGAGUUACUGGGCGUAAAGCGCGCGCAGGCGGCGGUGCUGGCCCGGCGUGAAAGCCCCCGGCUCAACCGGGGAGGGUCGUCGGGGACCGCACCGCUUGAGGGCGGUAGGGGCUGGUGGAAUGCCUGGUGUAGUGGUGAAAUGCGUAGAGAUCAGGCGGAACACCCGUGGCGAAGGCGGCCAGCUGGGCCGUCCCUGACGCUGAGGCGCGAAGGCGUGGGGAGCGAACGGG